This 2113-nucleotide long non-coding RNA is filed under the name Nicotiana tabacum (common tobacco). RNAcentral describes it as "long non-coding RNA (NTAB_LNC000599)". The record is from RNAcentral. Lineage: Eukaryota; Viridiplantae; Streptophyta; Magnoliopsida; Solanales; Solanaceae.
AUAACCUUCCAAUUGAGGCUCAGAUCUAUAAGAUUGAAGACAAGGCAAGAGAUUGGAGACACCGCCAUGGCUGCAAACACCGGUUGCAUGUCGUCACCGUCCGGGUCGCCCCGCCAAGUUACGGCUCCGAUUGUUCCCUUGCCCUAAUCAAUUUGCUCAGAGACAGAAGAAAAAAUUAUCAUCAUAGCCUCAGAUUUUUGCUACAAUUAUUAUUCAUUCUUAUUCUAAUAAUUUUUUUUUCCUAUUUUAAUUAUUUCUAGUUCAAAAUAUUCAUAUUCACGCUCAUUAUCCAAUUACACUCACUUUAUCCAUUUUAACUAUUAUUUUGUCACAUAUGCUUGGUCAACGGUCAAAGGGAUUUAAAUAAUAGACUUUGAUCCAACAAUGGUUCCUCCAAAUAAAGAAAAGAGAAAAAAACUAAAGAAGUCCAAAAUCAAAAGAUUUAAACACUUCACAUGGAAAGAAACGCCACAUUCUUAAUAAAAGAGUAGCUAACAUUGAUUUUAGUUUGGACAACAGACUAACAUAUGCACCAUGAAUUUCUAGAACUUGAACGCCAACUUGCAGAGAUUACAUUCUUAAUAAGUUUAACACACAUGACCUUAGAUUUUUUGUUUUGUUUGUUUAACUAAAAUUUUGAUGACAACAAUUAUUGUUGUAUUUUUUAAAAGACAAGUUGCCUUGACACUAGAAACUUUAGUCAUUUAAUAUGAGCAUGAAUAUUUAUUUAAUCAUUAAAAAAACUUGAAGUUCGGGAAAUUAAGUAACAACUUGAGCCAUGGAAAACUAUACUAUUUCACCCCAGGAACAAGCUCAACUUCAAAAUAUAAAUAAGCACUUGAUCAUUAUAAAUAAAAGAACCAGACUACAUAUCAAAUAUUUACAAAGAAAAGUAAAAUCAGUUUAACUUGCUAACAGUAAAAGUAGAAUCUUUAAGCUAUUUUUCCCCCCAAAGUUUCAGGUGAAAUGACUGUCUGUAAACCUGUUGUGGCAGAAGCAAGGAGGAAAAAGGUCUUUUCAGCCACCCUACUAGUAAAAAGUAAGCUACUAAUGUACCCUAUUUCACGAUUGAUUAUCUAAUAUUCAGUUUUAAACCAUCAGCAUCAAACUAACUUGCUCAACAUAAAUCAAACUCAAACAAGAACUCAACUCACUAAUUGAAUUGACAAAGUAAACAUAACUUGAGUCGUAACUAAACUAAGUACUCCAACUAACUAGAUUAAACCAAAUUAAAGUAUGUGAACUAACACUGAACAACCGAACCAUUGAUUAGUAGUAACUGCUUAACUGACAAAUCUUCAAAGGUGACAUUAACAAUGAACUAAGCGGCUAGCUAAUUUCGAUUUAGACUAGCAUAACACAUUGACAAGCGAUAUAAUCGACCGACUAGGUCGGACAACAAGAAUUCCAAAUAUAACUAUACUAACACAUGGAACGACAUUCGAGCACUAAUAAUUAGUAAAGACUAGCAAUUGAAUGACAAAAUUAUAAAAGAUACAUUAAAACCCAAAGCAUGGCAUACUGGCCGAGAAUAAGAAAAAUAGAGCAAAAGGACGAGAUUUGGUAUUUACCACUACUCGAGGCAACGGUUCCGACCUUCGAGCACACUUUUCUUAAUGAUAGAUGAUGGUUCAGCCAUCCUUGAAACCAAAGCCUUGGCACCAUCAUCGUAUCACAAAGGAAAGAACGCUCAAGAGUCGGGGAGGAAAAUUGAAGGAGGGUGUGGAAGUUCGGUGGUGGACGGAAGUUUCGUCGGAAAAUGUUUAUCGUAUUUUCGGCUUGAGACCAACGUUAAACAAUAGUCCUCCUCGAGCUUUGUCCGUGUAUAUAGGUGUUGGGGGUAAAUAUGGCUCAAAUCUCACGAAUUUAAGAUGAAGAAAAAAGUGACAAGUUGGGCUUCUUAGAUUUACUAUUCAUGAAAUUUGAAGGAUUUUUUUUAAGGAUUUGGUUUGGACAUAUGAAAAGAAUAGGUUGUGGAGAUUAUAUGCUGAAAUUUUGGGAGUGAUUGGAGGUGGCCAGCCGGUGGUGACGAUUUUCGGCCAGUGGAGAUGGGCGAUAGUAGGGCGGAGACGGUAAGGAGAGAGGGGAGAGGUAGAGAGAGAGGAGAGCAAAG